This 496-nucleotide ribosomal RNA is filed under the name uncultured bacterium. RNAcentral's name for it is "partial 16S ribosomal RNA". It matches the Rfam family "Bacterial small subunit ribosomal RNA", at positions 29 to 507 of the family's 1533-position model. The record is from RNAcentral.
AUGGACGCUGGCGGCGUGCCUAAUACAUGCCAGUCGAGCGAACAGAUGAGGAGCUUGCUCCUCUGACGUUAGCGGCGGACGGGUGAGUAACACGUGGAUAACCUACCUAUAAGACUGGGAUAACUUCGGGAAACCGGAGCUAAUACCGGAUAAUAUAUUGAACCGCAUGGUUCAAUAGUGAAAGACGGUUUUGCUGUCACUUAUAGAUGGAUCCGCGCCGCAUUAGCUAGUUGGUAAGGUAACGGCUUACCAAGGCAACGAUGCGUAGCCGACCUGAGAGGGUGAUCGGCCACACUGGAACUGAGACACGGUCCAGACUCCUACGGGAGGCAGCAGUAGGGAAUCUUCCGCAAUGGGCGAAAGCCUGACGGAGCAACGCCGCGUGAGUGAUGAAGGUCUUCGGAUCGUAAAACUCUGUUAUUAGGGAAGAACAAAUGUGUAAGUAACUAUGCACGUCUUGACGGUACCUAAUCAGAAAGCCACGGCUAACUACGUG